UGAUAAGGAAAAAGACAUGUAUAAGAAUAUUCAUAGCCUCUCUGUUUGGCUGUAUGACUGAACAAAUUGUGGUAUAUGUUGGUGAUGGAAUGCUAUUGUGCUCAAAGGAAUAAUGAACUGGAGGAAUUUCAUGUGAACUGGAAAGACCUCCAGGAAUUGAUACAGAAUGAAAGGAAUAGAACCAGAACACUGUACACAGAGACUGAUGCACUGUGAUAAAUUCAAAUGUAAUGGACUUCUCCAUUAGUGGCAAUGCAGUGAUCCUGAACAACCCAGAGGGAUCUACAACAAGUCAAACCUCAACAUACCAAGCUCAACAAUUGAGAGAAAACAAACUGGUCUCACCACCUGCUUUUUCUUCACAGUCUCACAUGCUAUUGAAUACUACUGGAAUAAAUUAUUGCUGGAUCCACUUCAAAAUCACAUUUUCUUAUCAUCACUGACCUCUUACUGCUGCAUGAUAGUAUUUUCUUUCUUCUCUGAUUGAUUCUUUAUCACAUAUUCCCAUAGAGUCUAUCCUAAAUAAGCC
This 529-nucleotide long non-coding RNA is filed under the name Monodelphis domestica (gray short-tailed opossum). RNAcentral describes it as "lncRNA (ENSMODG00000047933.1)". Lineage: Eukaryota; Metazoa; Chordata; Mammalia; Didelphimorphia; Didelphidae. The record is from RNAcentral.